UAAAAAGAUAAGCUAAUAAAGCUAUUGGGUUCAUACCUCAACCAUAAAGGUCCUACCCCUUUUCUUUUU
Molecule: transfer RNA, 69 nt
Filed under: Cleridae sp. 2 ACP-2013
Lineage: Eukaryota; Metazoa; Arthropoda; Insecta; Coleoptera; Cleridae
Description: tRNA-Met
Source: RNAcentral